GCCGGCGUGGCGGAACGGCAGACGCGGCGGACUCAAAAUCCGCUGUCCUCACGGGCAUGAGGGUUCAAGUCCCUCCGCCGGCA
RNAcentral lists this transfer RNA (83 nucleotides) under Treponema sp. RNAcentral's name for it is "tRNA-Leu". It matches the Rfam family "tRNA". From Rfam's summary of the family: Transfer RNA (tRNA) molecules are approximately 80 nucleotides in length. Their secondary structure includes four short double-helical elements and three loops (D, anti-codon, and T loops). The record is from RNAcentral. Lineage: Bacteria; Pseudomonadati; Spirochaetota; Spirochaetia; Treponematales; Treponemataceae. RNAcentral also lists the same sequence under 2 other names.